UAAAAAGGGCGCAUGGCGGAUGCCUUGGCUCUCGGAGGCGAUGAAGGACGUGAUAAGCUGCGAUAAGCUUUGGGGAGGUGCAAAUGACCUUUGAUCCAGAGAUUUCCGAAUGGGACAACCCAAUAUCUUGAAGAGGUAUUAUCUUACUAUGUAAGAGGCUAACGCAGGGAACUGAAACAUCUUAGUACCUGCAGGAAAAGAAAAUAAACAAUGAUUCCCCCAGUAGUGGCGAGCGAACGGGGAACAGCCCAAACCAUCCAUGUUACGGCAUGGGUGGGGUUGUAGGACUACGCCGUUGCAUGAAGACAUCAGAGAAGAACUUUCUGGAAAGAAAGACCAUAGAGCAUGACAGUUGCGUAUUCGAAUGUUGUCGAAGCAUAGUAGUAUCCUGAGUAGCGCGGAGCACGAGGAAUUCUGCGUGAAUCUGCCGGGACCAUCCGGUAAGGCUAAAUACUCCCGAGAGACCGAUAGCGAACCAGUACCGUGAGGGAAAGGUGAAAAGCACUUCGAACAGAAGAGUGAAAUAGUUCCUGAAACCGUGCGCCUACAAGCGGUCGGAGCUCGUUAAUGAGUGACGGCGUGCCUUUUGCAUAAUGAACCUACGAGUUGCCUUUGCCGGCAAGGUUAAGUGUGACGACACACGUAUCCGAAGCGAAAGCGAGUCUGAACAGGGCGUAUAGUCGGCAGUGGCAGACGCGAAACCAAGUGAUCUACCCUUGGCCAGGUUGAAGGCUGGGUAACACCAGCUGGAGGACCGCACCAAUAAGCGUUGAAAAGCUUCUGGAUGAGCUGAGGGUAGGGGUGAAAGGCUAAUCAAACUUGGAGAUAGCUCGUACUCCCCGAAAUGCAUUUAGGUGCAGCCUUGCGGGUUACUGAUGUGAGGUAGAGCGACUGAUAAGAUGCGAGGGCUUCACCGCCUAUCAAGUCUUGACAAACUCCGAAUGCGCAUCAGUUCUACCGCAGGAGUGAGGGCAUGGGUGCUAAGGUCCGUGCCCGAGAGGAGAAGAAUCCGGACCACCUGCUAAGGUCCCGAAAUGACAGCUAAGUUAAACUAACGAAGUCUGACUGCUAAGACAGCUAGGAUGUUGGCUUGGAAGCAGCCAUUCAUUUAAAGAGUGCGUAACAGCUCACUAGUCGAGGAGUCGGGCGUGGAUAAUAAUCGGGUAUCAAGUUGUCUACCGAAGCAGUGGGAUCAUUAAUAUGAUCGGUAGGGGAGCAUUCCAGUCAGCGUCGAAGGCGUACCGUGAGGUAUUCUGGAGCGUCUGGAAAAGCAAAUGUAGGUAUAAGUAACGAUAAAGGGGCGGGAAACCCCCUCGCCGAAAGACUAAGGUUUCCUGAUCAACGCUAAUCGGAUCAGGGUCAGUCGGGUCCUAAGGCUCAGCCGAACGGCGAUGCCGAUGGCAGAAACGGUUAAUAUUCCGUUACUACCUUCAGGAGUGACGUGGAGACGCAGUAGUGACAGUGCCGCCAUCUGACGGAAUAGAUGGUUGAAGGGUGUAGGAGUCGAUCAUGGCAGGCAAAUCCACCAUGAGAUCCGAACCUGACAGUAUGCCGCGUCCUUCGGGACAAGGCAAUAGUGCGCGUAAGCAUGCUGCCGAGAAAAUCCGCUAAACUUAAUCCUGCAGGUACCCGUACCGCAAACGGACACACGUAGUCGGGAUGAAUAUUCUAAGGCGCUUGAGUGAUUCACGGUUAAGGAACUAGGCAAACUGACCCUGUAACUUCGGGAUAAAGGGUCCCUACCCUUUUAUGGGAGGGCGCAGAGAAUCGGUCCAGGCAACUGUUUAACAAAAACACAGGGCUGUGCCAAAUCGAAAGAUCCAGUAUACAGCCUGACACCUGCCCGGUGCUGGAAGGUUAAGAGGAGAUGUCAUCGAUAAGAGAAGCGUUGAAUUGAAGCCCCAGUAAACGGCGGCCGUAACUAUAACGGUCCUAAGGUAGCGAAAUUCCUUGUCGGGUAAGUUCCGACCUGCACGAAUGGUGUAAUGAUCUGGACGCUGUCUCAACCGUGAGCUCAGUGAAAUUGUAGUAUCGGUGAAGAUGCCGAUUACCCGCGAUGGGACGAAAAGACCCCGUGAACCUUUACUAUAGCUUAUCAUUGAAUCUGGGCACGUGAUGUGUAGGAUAGGUCGGAGGCUUUGAAGCAGGUACGCCAGUAUUUGUGGAGCCGCUGUUGAAAUACGACCCUUUAUUUGUUUGGAUUCUAACCCGUGGAACGGGGACAUUGAUUGGUGGGUAGUUUGACUGGGGUGGUCGCCUCCAAAAGCGUAACGGAGGCUUCUAAAGGUGCCCUCCGGCCGAUUGGUAACCGGCCUUAGAGUGUAAUGGCAUAAGGGCGCUUGACUGGGAGACUAACAAGUCGAUCAGGUAGGAAACUAGAGCAUAGUGAUCCGGUGUUUCCGUAUGGAAGGGACAUCGCUCAAAGGAUAAAAGGUACUCCGGGGAUAACAGGCUGAUCCCUCCCAAGAGCUCAUAUCGACGGAGUGGUUUGGCACCUCGAUGUCGGCUCGUCACAUCCUGGGGCUGGAGAAGGUCCCAAGGGUUGGGCUGUUCGCCCAUUAAAGUGGCACGCGAGCUGGGUUCAGAACGUCGUGAGACAGUUCGGUCUCUAUCUAUCGUGGGCGCAUGAAAUUUGCGUGGCUCUGACACUAGUACGAGAGGACCGUGUUGGACAGACCUCUGGUUUGCCGGUUGUGCCGCCAGGUGCAUUGCCGGGUAUCUAAGUCUGGAUCGGAUAAGUGCUGAAAGCAUCUAAGUACGAAGCCGGCCACAAGAUUAGAUUUCUCAGGGUCGUUGUAGACUACGACGUUGAUAGGAUGCAGGUGUAA
This 2828-nucleotide ribosomal RNA is filed under the name Phocaeicola vulgatus. Its description in RNAcentral is "bacterial LSU rRNA". It matches the Rfam family "Bacterial large subunit ribosomal RNA". The record is from RNAcentral. Lineage: Bacteria; Pseudomonadati; Bacteroidota; Bacteroidia; Bacteroidales; Bacteroidaceae.